Molecule: ribosomal RNA, 554 nt
Filed under: uncultured Propionibacterium sp.
Lineage: Bacteria; Bacillati; Actinomycetota; Actinomycetes; Propionibacteriales; Propionibacteriaceae
Description: bacterial SSU rRNA
Rfam family: Bacterial small subunit ribosomal RNA
Source: RNAcentral
UUCGAACGCUGGCGGCGUGCUUAACACAUGCAAGUCGAACGGAAAGGCCCUGCUUUUGUGGGGUGCUCGAGUGGCGAACGGGUGAGUAACACGUGAGUAACCUGCCCUUGACUUUGGGAUAACUUCAGGAAACUGGGGCUAAUACCGGAUAGGAGCUCCUGCUGCAUGGUGGGGGUUGGAAAGUUUCGGCGGUUGGGGAUGGACUCGCGGCUUAUCAGCUUGUUGGUGGGGUAGUGGCUUACCAAGGCUUUGACGGGUAGCCGGCCUGAGAGGGUGACCGGCCACAUUGGGACUGAGAUACGGCCCAGACUCCUACGGGAGGCAGCAGUGGGGAAUAUUGCACAAUGGGCGGAAGCCUGAUGCAGCAACGCCGCGUGCGGGAUGACGGCCUUCGGGUUGUAAACCGCUUUCGCCUGUGACGAAGCGUGAGUGACCCUAAUGGGUAAAGAAGCACCGGCUAACUACGUGCCAGCAGCCGCGGUGAUACGUAGGGUGCGAGCGUUGUCCGGAUUUAUUGGGCGUAAAGGGCUCGUAGGUGGUUGAUCGCGUCGGAG